Molecule: ribosomal RNA, 243 nt
Filed under: uncultured bacterium
Lineage: Bacteria
Description: partial 16S ribosomal RNA
Rfam family: Bacterial small subunit ribosomal RNA
Source: RNAcentral
CACGCCGUAAACGAUGUCAACUAGCCGUUGGGGAUAUUAAAAUCUUUAGUGGCGCAGCUAACGCGAUAAGUUGACCGCCUGGGGAGUACGGCCGCAAGGUUAAAACUCAAAGGAAUUGACGGGGGCCCGCACAAGCGGUGGAGCAUGUGGUUUAAUUCGAUGCAACGCGAAGAACCUUACCACUCCUUGACAUCCUCAGAACUUGUUAGAGAUAACUUGGUGCCUUCGGGAACUGAGUGACAG